RNAcentral lists this ribosomal RNA (396 nucleotides) under uncultured bacterium. RNAcentral describes it as "bacterial SSU rRNA". It matches the Rfam family "Bacterial small subunit ribosomal RNA", at positions 505 to 898 of the family's 1533-position model. The record is from RNAcentral.
GUGUCAGCCGCCGCGGUAAGACGUAGGGGGCGAGCGUUGUCCGGAUUCAUUGGGCGUAAAGCGCGCGUAGGCGGCUGCACAAGUCGGUUGUGAAAAUCCGGGGCUCAACCCCGGACGUGCAUCCGAAACUGUGUAGCUAGAGGUAGGUAGGGGAGAUCGGAAUUCCUGGUGUAGCGGUGAAAUGCGCAGAUAUCAGGAGGAACACCGGUGGCGAAGGCGGAUCUCUGGGCCUUACCUGACGCUGAGGUGCGAAAGCUAGGGGAGCGAACAGGAUUAGAUACCCUGGUAGUCCUAGCCGUAAACGUUGGACACUAGGUGUGGGCGGCAAUCAACCCCGUCCGUGCCGAAGCUAACGCAUUAAGUGUCCCGCCUGGGGAGUACGGCCGCAAGGCUAAA